Unclassified non-coding RNA from Myotis lucifugus (little brown bat), 304 nucleotides. Its record names the gene 7SK. It matches the Rfam family "7SK RNA". Rfam says of the family: 7SK was discovered as an abundant small nuclear RNA in the mid-70s but a possible function has only recently been suggested. Two independent studies have found that 7SK RNA binds the CDK9/cyclin T complex (known as elongation factor P-TEFb). P-TEFb activates transcription by phosphorylating the C-terminal domain of RNA polymerase II. The record is from Ensembl. NCBI's taxonomy places the organism in Eukaryota, Metazoa, Chordata, Mammalia, Chiroptera, Vespertilionidae.
GAAUGUGAGGGUGAUCUGGCUGCGACACCUGUCACCCCAUUAAUGUAGGGUUUAUUCCGCUGAUACGGCUGGCAAGGUGGGUGUCCCCUUCCUCCCUGUCCAUGUGCGAAGAGAUGACCUUCCCCGCCAGAGGAAGGAGAGGACCACUCUGUGGUCAAGGGUAUGUGAGUCGCUGUGCUCCCCCGGCUAGAACCUCCCAGCGAGUUCCCAAUGGUAGCUCUCUUUGGGGGUAGGGCUGUUUCCAGGAAGUAAUCAAACCCUAUCCCAGACUUGGGGUCGCCUCUGGCUCACUCCCCAACUACUG